AAUUAACGCUGGCGGCAUGCCUAACACAUGCAAGUCGCACGAGAAAGCCCGGUUCGCCGGGCGAGUAAAGUGGCGCACGGGUGAGUAACGCGUAGAUAAUCUGCCUGAUGAUCUGGGAUAACACUUCGAAAGAGGUGCUAAUACCGGAUAAGCCCACGGAGUCUUUGGAUUCUGCGGGAAAAGGGGGGACCGUUCGGGCCGUUCUGUCAUCAGAUGAGUCUGCGUACCAUUAGCUAGUUGGUAGGGUAAUGGCCUACCAAGGCUACGAUGGUUAGCUGGUCUGAGAGGAUGAUCAGCCACACUGGAACUGAGACACGGUCCAGACUCCUACGGGUGGCAG
Molecule: ribosomal RNA, 340 nt
Filed under: uncultured Pseudomonadota bacterium
Lineage: Bacteria; Pseudomonadati; Pseudomonadota
Description: bacterial SSU rRNA
Rfam family: Bacterial small subunit ribosomal RNA
Source: RNAcentral